GAAUCCCGUCUUUGACACGGACUGCCUGCAUGUUAUGGUGCGCUCUCAAAGAGUCGAGUUGUUUGGGAAUGCAGCUCAAAAUGGGUGGUAAAUGCCAUCUAAAGCUAAAUAUUGGCGAGAGACCGAUAGCGAACAAGUACCGUGAGGGAAAGAUGAAAAGAACUUUGGAAAGAGAGUUAAACAGUACGUGAAAUUGCUGAAAGGGAAACGCUUGAAGUCAGUCGCGUCGGCUAGAAAUCAACCUUGCUUUUGCUUGGUGUACUUUCUUGUUGAUGGGUCAGCAUCAAUUUUGACCGUUGGAUAAAGUCGUUGGGAAUGUGGCAUCUUAGGAUGUGUUAUAGCCCAUCGUCGCAUACAGCGGUUGGGAUUGAGGAACUCAGCACGCCCUUCUGGGGACGGGUUUCGACCACGUUUCGUGCUUAGGAUGCUGGCAUAAUGGCUUUAAUCGACCCGUCUUGAAACACGGACCAAGGAGUCUAACAUGCCUGCGAGUGUUUGGGUGGAAAACCCAUGCGCGCAAUGAAAGUGAAAGUUGAGAUCCCCUCAAGGGGAGCAUCGACGCCCGGACCAGAGCUUCUGUGACGGAUCCGCGGUAGAGCAUGUAUGUUGGGACCCGAAAGAUGGUGAACUAUGCCUGAAUAGGGUGAAGCCAGAGGAACUCUGGUGGAGGCUCGUAGCGAUUCUGACGUGCAAAUCGAUCGUCAAAUUUGGGUAUAGGGGCGAAAGACUAAUCGAACCAUCUAGUAGCUGGUUCCUGCC
RNAcentral lists this ribosomal RNA (759 nucleotides) under uncultured Inocybe. RNAcentral describes it as "partial 28S ribosomal RNA". It matches the Rfam family "Eukaryotic large subunit ribosomal RNA", at positions 216 to 962 of the family's 3401-position model. Lineage: Eukaryota; Fungi; Basidiomycota; Agaricomycetes; Agaricales; Cortinariaceae. The record is from RNAcentral.